RNAcentral lists this ribosomal RNA (110 nucleotides) under Escherichia coli. Its description in RNAcentral is "partial 23S ribosomal RNA". It matches the Rfam family "Bacterial large subunit ribosomal RNA", at positions 2813 to 2925 of the family's 2925-position model. RNAcentral also lists the same sequence under 2 other names. The record is from RNAcentral. Lineage: Bacteria; Pseudomonadati; Pseudomonadota; Gammaproteobacteria; Enterobacterales; Enterobacteriaceae.
CCUUGAGAGUCCUGAAGGAACGUUGAAGACGACGACGUUGAUAGGUCGGGUGUGUAAGCGUAGCGAUACGUUGAGCUAACCGAUACUAAUGAACCGUGAGGCUUAACCUU